Molecule: ribosomal RNA, 429 nt
Filed under: Chloroflexota bacterium
Lineage: Bacteria; Bacillati; Chloroflexota
Description: Chloroflexi bacterium partial 16S ribosomal RNA
Rfam family: Bacterial small subunit ribosomal RNA
Source: RNAcentral
UAGGGAAUCUUCGGCAAUGGACGAAAGUCUGACCGAGCAACGCCGCGUGAGUGAAGAAGGUUUUCGGAUCGUAAAACUCUGUUGUUAGAGAAGAACAAGGACGUUAGUAACUGAACGUCCCCUGACGGUAUCUAACCAGAAAGCCACGGCUAACUACGUGCCAGCAGCCGCGGUAAUACGUAGGUGGCAAGCGUUGUCCGGAUUUAUUGGGCGUAAAGCGAGCGCAGGCGGUUUCUUAAGUCUGAUGUGAAAGCCCCCGGCUCAACCGGGGAGGGUCAUUGGAAACUGGGAGACUGGAGUGCAGAAGAGGAGAGUGGAAUUCCAUGGGUAGCGGUGAAAUGCGUAGAUAUAUGGAGGAACACCAGUGGCGAAGGCGGCUCUCUGGUCUGUAACUGACGCUGAGGCUCGAAAGCGUGGGGAGCAAACAGG